RNAcentral lists this ribosomal RNA (305 nucleotides) under uncultured bacterium. RNAcentral describes it as "bacterial SSU rRNA". It matches the Rfam family "Bacterial small subunit ribosomal RNA", at positions 333 to 636 of the family's 1533-position model. The record is from RNAcentral.
CGUAUCCUACGGGAGACAGCAGUGAGGAAUAUUGGUCAAUGGGAGAGAUCCUGAACCAGCCAAGCCGCGUGAGGGAAGACGGCCCUAUGGGUUGUAAACCUCUUUUGUCGGAGAACAAAACCCGGGACGUGUCCCGGACUGCGUGUAUCCGAAGAAAAAGCAUCGGCUAACUCCGUGCCAGCAGCCGCGGUAAUACGGAGGAUGCGAGCGUUAUCCGGAUUUAUUGGGUUUAAAGGGUGCGCAGGCGGAAGAUCAAGUCAGCGGUAAAAUUGAGAGGCUCAACCUCUUCGAGCAGUUGCAACUGG